Molecule: long non-coding RNA, 3415 nt
Organism: Pan troglodytes (chimpanzee)
Lineage: Eukaryota; Metazoa; Chordata; Mammalia; Primates; Hominidae
Exons: 3
Source: RefSeq, a predicted model, not a curated record
ACAGAUCUAAGGAAUUCUAGAAUUCUGGAGAUGUGGCCAUAAAUAUAACAAUCUAGUUUCCUUAUUUGGUGCUUUUUAAACUGUCAUACCCAUGCCCUGAUUAUGCAAAGAUGUACCGGGGACAGGAAACUAUAAGAUAAGGUCCCCCAGAGUGAUACUGGUACAGAACCUAACACAAGCUAAGAAGGACUAGAAGAAACAAUUAUCACACAUACCUAGCAAGUGGAUAUUGGUUUCUAAUGCCAUUCACCAGUAAAAAAACACACAGGACUACUUGGAGAAAUUGACUGAUUCUAGGACUGAGGCUAGAAAUACUCAAGAUCAGCCUGGAGUUUCUUAUAGUGCCAGAAAGUAAGAAAGUGCUUGAAAAAAAAGAACCACAGAGUCCCACAAUAAUAGGAGUAUGUCAAAGACAUGAAGGAGCCAACUGAAGGAGCUCUUCAUGGCCAAAACUUGAAAAAUUGGAGCAAUGAAAUAAAGUAAAGCAGAAUUGGAUUAUAACCUAAAGUAUAAAAUAAGUAUUCAUAAGUCUAUGCCAAUAGAAAUGAUUGAAUAAAUAAAUGAGGAAAAGGGACAAAUUUCCUGUGCAGAAAAAUUCCAGCUGAUUUAUGUACUCCUCUCUCAAGUUGGAGUAUAACACCUAACUUCUUAAGUGUUGGUUGUACUUAGUGACUUCCUUCAAAACUAUACAGUAUGAAAGGGGAAGGAAAAGGUAACUUUACCUGGAAAAAGCUGACACAUGCUACCUCAGCCAGGAGAUCAAGUUCAACAUCAACAGUGAUAAGUCAUAUUGAUGGGAACAAGGCUCUUUUGUCUUUGAUUUUCCAAUCAAACCAGAACAUUUGCAUUCUGGUUUGCCUCUUCUCCAAAGAAUCACAACUCCUCGCCAGCAAGGGAGAAAAACUGGACAGAGAAUGAAUUUAAUGAGUUGACAGAAGUAGGCUUCAGAAAGUGGGUAAUAACAAACUACUUCGAGCUAAAGGAGCAUGUUCUAACCCAGUGCAAGGAAGCUAAGAACCUUGACAAAAGGUUAAAGAAAUUGCUAACUAGAAUAACCAGUUUAGAGAAGAACAUAAAUGACCUGAUGGAGCUGAAAAACACAGCACGAGAGAGAGCUGGUGAGGCAUACCCAUGUAUCAAUAGCCAAAUCGAUCAAGCAGAAGAAAGGAUAUCAAAGAUUGAAGAUCAACGUAAUGGAAUAAAGCAUGAAUACAAGAUUAGAGAAAAAAGAAUGAAAAGGAAUGAACAAAGCCUCCAAGAAAUAUGGGACUCUGUGAAAAGACCAAACCUACGUUUGAUUGGUGUACCUGAAAGUGACGGGGAGAAUGGAACCAAGUUGGAAAACACUCUUCAGGAUAUUAUCCAGGAGAACUUCCCCAACCUAGCAAGACAGGCCAGCAUUCAAAUUCAGGAAAUACAGAGAACACCACACAGAUACUCCUCGAGAAGAGCAACCCCAGUACAGCAAGCACUUAGUAAACAUCUUCUGAAGGAAUACUCGUAACAGGAUAGAAUAGAGACGAGGAACCAAUUUAAAAUAAAAGUACCUGCCUGUGAUUCCCAGCGUGUUUCCCAAGACCAUGGUUUCCCAUUCUAUAUCCAGACCCUUCCAGGGACAGGACUAUUCUCAAAGCAAAGAGUCAUUUUCUCUAGCUUCUUUGCAGUGAUGGAUAAAAGCCACUGUGGAACUCAUUCUAUUCUCUCAGUAGUGAAGAAAUGUCACUAGAAAUGUAAGACAUGUAACUGGCUAGAUUUUUCUAUAAACUCAACUAAAAUUUUCUCUCAUGCCCCUAUUCAGUGGAAGAGAUUUAAACCCAGCCAAUUCCAGUUUCCUUCUUUCUUUCUUGCUCUGUCAUUGUGUCUAUAGCAUUGUGGGAGCUGGGGUUCAUCUAGUCCUUGGCUAUCACAUCUCCAAGCCACAUCCCUGAGAGACGCAUCAUCUGGCCUGGCCCUGGUCACCAGGUGCACAGUCCAUGUGUGCUGUGCUCCAUUGCCAUCUGGGCAAUUCCCUCUGAUGCAGUGCUCUUUCUGCUCUGUCCCUCCUCGCCCCAGGCACCCAGCAUCGACUCUGUCCUCUAUGUUCCACCAUCUUCCCUUCCAUGGAGCAUUAGGCAUGGCUGUCUUAGGUGAUUUAGAACAUCCUAAAUAUGCAAACGAAACUCGUUAAUAUUCCAGAAUUACUCUGCUGCAUAGAUUAUUCAAAUUUAGAUCAACUGGCCUGGUGCUGUGACUCACGCCUGUAAUCCCAGCACUUUGGGAGGCUGAGGUGUGUGGAUCACUUGAGGUCAGGAGUUCAAGACCAGCCUGGGCAACAUGACAAAACCCCUUCUCUACCAAAAAUACAAAAAUCAGCUGGGUAUGGUGGUGUGUGCCUGGAAUCUCAGAUACUCAGGAGGCUGAGGCAGGAGAAUAGCUUGAAUCCAGGAGGCGGAAGUUGCAGUAAACUGAGAUCACGUCACCACAUUCCAGCCUGGGUGACGGAGCAAAACUCCAUCUCAAAAAAUACACAUAAUUAGUUAAUUAAGAUUAACUGGACAAGGGGAAUGUACACCUGUGUACAAACAGCCUAUGCGACUCCCAGACACAAUUUUGGGCCAAAGGGUAAAAGACAUUGGGAAAUAGAUUGGGCUUGCCAUAUAAAACAAACAAACAAAUAACCAAAACAAAAGAACUUGAAGCAAUUAAAGCUAUCCAAAAAUAAAAGUCGCUGCCUCUUUAGCUAGUGGUUUACUGGGCAGAAAAUAUUCAGCUCCAGUUCAAUGCUUGCUUAGGCAGAUGCUAGAGAAGAAAUUUAUGGGCAAGGGUUGGAAUAAAUUGUCUUUAAUACUUUCUCAAAUAUAGAAGUUCUGCGAUUUCUUAGGAAGGGUGUGUGUGUAUACAGAGAGAAAGAGAAAGAUGAAGUGGCUCGUGCAAACAUGGAGGCUUAGUAAACUCAAAAUCUUCAGAGGAGGCUAGCAGGCUGGAGACGCAGGGAACACUUGCUGCUGAAGUUCAAAGGCAGAACUCCCAUCUUGACUUGGGAGAGGUCAGUCUCUUAUUCCAUUCUGGCCUUUAACUGACUGGAUGAGCCCUACCCACAUUGCAGAGGGUAAUCUGCUAUAUUCAAAGUCCACCAAUUUAAAUGUUGAUCUAGGCCAGGCGCGGCGGCUUACGCCUAUAAUCCCGGCACUUUGCGAGGCCAAGGUGGGUGGAUCCCUUGAGGUCAGGAGUUUGAGACCAGCCUGGCCAAUGUGAUGAAACCCCACCUCUACUAAAAAUACAAAAAAUUAGCCGAGCAUGGUGGCGGGCGCCUGUAGUCCCAGCUACUCGGGAGGCUGAGGCAGGAGAAUGGCGUGAACCCAGGAGGCGAAGCUUGCAUUGAGCCGAGAUCUUGCCACUGCACUCCAGCCUGGGCGACAGAGCAAGACUGCAUCUC